RNAcentral lists this ribosomal RNA (443 nucleotides) under uncultured bacterium. RNAcentral's name for it is "partial 16S ribosomal RNA". It matches the Rfam family "Bacterial small subunit ribosomal RNA", at positions 338 to 795 of the family's 1533-position model. The record is from RNAcentral.
CCUACGGGGUGCAGCAGUGGGGGAUAUUGGACAAUGGGGGAAACCCUGAUCCAGCGACGCCGCGUGAGUGAAGAAGUAUUUCGGUAUGUAAAGCUCUAUCAGCAGGGAAGAAAGAAAUGACGGUACCUGAGUAAGAAGCCCCGGCUAACUACGUGCCAGCAGCCGCGGUAAUACGUAGGGGGCAAGCGUUAUCCGGAAUUACUGGGUGUAAAGGGAGCGUAGACGGUAAUGCAAGUCUGGAGUGAAAGGCGGGGGCACAACCCCCGGACUGCUCUGGAAACUGUGUAACUGGAGUGCAGUAGAGGCAGGCGGAAUUCCUAGUGUAGCGGUGAAAUGCGUAGAUAUUAGGAGGAACACCAGUGGCGAUGGCGGCCUGCUGGACUGUAACUGACGUUGAGGCUCGAAAGCGUGGGGAGCAAACAGGAUUAGAUACCCGAGUAGUC